This is a long non-coding RNA of Grammomys surdaster, 726 nucleotides long. RefSeq lists it as uncharacterized. The transcript has 2 exons. NCBI's taxonomy places the organism in Eukaryota, Metazoa, Chordata, Mammalia, Rodentia, Muridae. The record is from RefSeq and is a predicted model, not a curated record.
UGACUGUGGGUGCAGGAGACCAUGCCGCUUCCUGCCCCUGCUGUCACUCCUUCCUUACUUUCUGCCACGUCUUCCUGGCCGCUCUGGAAUCAUCUUCUUGAACUCUAAGCUGGGUCCCCAAAGAGAUCAGAAGAAGACACCAGAUCCCCUGCAACAGCAGUUGUGAACUACCCAAUGUGGAUGCUGGGAACCAAACACCAAUCCUCCCAUGAGCAGCAAGGGCUCACAGCGCCGAGCCACCUCUCCAGCCCCUAAAUAAAGUUUUAUUGGAUUGCACCUAUGACCUUUCCUUUAUGGACUGCCUGUGGCUGCACUCACGCUCAGAAGGCAGCACUAAUUAGGUGCAACAGAGAUCCAUGUCCCGCAAAGCUCGGAUAUCAACCCUCUGACCCCUUGUAAGAAACACACUGUUGAACGCCGCCUGACACCAUCUGUCAGACUGUCAUACGUACGAGCCAGGCUGAGAGCACGGCAAGAUAAGGACAACAGAGCCUCGCAGCUUCUGACAGAGCAAAGGAACCAUCAUGGCACGCAGAGAGGAGGCAAUGUUAAGAGACGCAGUGGAUUAGAAGCAGCCGCACGGUGUGUGGAAGCUGUGUCGUGCACAGGCAUCCAUUGCGUUCAUUCUGGGGGCAUGGGAAGUCUCACUUAUGAGAAGCUGAAUCCUGAAAGCUAAUCAAGAAUAUUGCUUUCUAAUAAAGUACAAACAGCUUCUGCUUCCUUUAA